AAGGCUCGUAGUUGGAUUUCUGUCGAGAACGCGCGGUCCACGCUUUGCGUGAGCAUCUGUGUCGGUCUUGGCAUCCUCUAGUGGAUCGUUCCUGCGCUUGAUUGCGUGGAGCGGAACGCUAGACUUUUACUUUGAGGAAAUUAGAGUGUUCACGGCAGGCAAACGCCUUGAAUAUAUUAGCAUGGAAUAAUAACAUAGGACCUUGGUUCUAUUUUGUUGGUUUCUAGAGCUGAGGUAAUGAUUAAUAGGGAUAAUUGGGGGCAUUCGUACUUAACGCGUCAGAGGUGGAAUUCUUGGAUUGCGUUACGACGAAUUACUGCGAAAGCAUUUGCCAAGGAUGUUUUCAUUGAUCAAGAACGAACGUUAGGGGAUCGAGGACGCUUA
RNAcentral lists this ribosomal RNA (384 nucleotides) under uncultured Syndiniales. RNAcentral describes it as "SSU rRNA". It matches the Rfam family "Eukaryotic small subunit ribosomal RNA", at positions 623 to 1010 of the family's 1831-position model. The record is from RNAcentral. Lineage: Eukaryota; Dinophyceae; Syndiniales.